AAAUGAAUUGACGGGGACCCGCACAAGCAGUGGAGUAUGUGGUUUAAUUCGAAGCAACGCGAAGAACCUUACCAGGUCUUGACAUCCCUCUGAAUGUCCUAGAGAUAGGGCAGGCCUACGGGACAGAGGAGACAGGUGGUGCAUGGUUGUCGUCAGCUCGUGUCGUGAGAUGUUGGGUUAAGUCCCGCAACGAGCGCAACCCUUGAGCUUAGUUGCCAGCGAGUGAAGUCGGGCACUCUAGGCUGACUGCCGGUGACAAACCGGAGGAAGGUGGGGAUGACGUCAAAUCAUCAUGCCCCUUAUGACCUGGGCUACACACGUACUACAAUGGCCGGUACAACGGGCAGCGAAGGAGCGAUCCGGAGCGAAUCCAAACAAAGCCGGUCUCAGUUCGGAUUGCAGGCUGCAACUCGCCUGCAUGAAGUCGGAAUUGCUAGUAAUCGCGGAUCAGCAUGCCGCGGUGAAUACGUUCCCGGGUCUUGUACACACCGCCCGU
RNAcentral lists this ribosomal RNA (496 nucleotides) under uncultured bacterium. RNAcentral's name for it is "bacterial SSU rRNA". It matches the Rfam family "Bacterial small subunit ribosomal RNA", at positions 903 to 1397 of the family's 1533-position model. The record is from RNAcentral.